CAGUCGCCACGGUAAUACGAAGGGGGCUAGCGUUGCUCGGAAUUACUGGGCGUAAAGGGCGCGUAGGCGGCACUGUUAGUCAGGCGUGAAAUUCCCGGGCUCAACCUGGGGACUGCGCUUGAUACGGCAGAGCUUGAGGAUGGAAGAGGGUCGUGGAAUUCCCAGUGUAGAGGUGAAAUUCGUAGAUAUUGGGAAGAACACCGGUGGCGAAGGCGGCGACCUGGUCCAUUACUGACGCUGAGGCGCGACAGCGUGGGGAGCAAACAGGAUUAGAUACCCCAGUAGUCCCUGUCUCUUAUAC
RNAcentral lists this ribosomal RNA (301 nucleotides) under uncultured bacterium. RNAcentral's name for it is "partial 16S ribosomal RNA". It matches the Rfam family "Bacterial small subunit ribosomal RNA", at positions 509 to 807 of the family's 1533-position model. The record is from RNAcentral.